UACGUAGGGGGCGAGCGUUGUCCGAAGUUACUGGGCGUAAAGAGCGCGUAGGCGGGUCUUUAAGUGAGGGGUGAAAGGUUCGGGCUCAACCCGGACACUGCCUUUCAUACUGGGGACCUUGAGUGCGGGAGAGGCGAGUGGAAUGGUCGGUGUAGCGGUGAAAUGCGUAGAUAUCAGGAGGAACACCUGUGGCGAAAGCGGCUCACUGGACCAUUACUGACGCUGAUGCUCGAAAGCUGGGGGAGCAAAAAGG
This 253-nucleotide ribosomal RNA is filed under the name uncultured prokaryote. Its description in RNAcentral is "partial 16S ribosomal RNA". It matches the Rfam family "Bacterial small subunit ribosomal RNA", at positions 524 to 776 of the family's 1533-position model. The record is from RNAcentral.